GUGGGGAAUUUUGGACAAUGGGCGCAAGCCUGAUCCAGCAAUGCCGCGUGCAGGAAGAAGGCCUUCGGGUUGUAAACUGCUUUUGUACGGAACGAAACGGUCCGGGUUAAUACCCUGGGCUAAUGACGGUACCGUAAGAAUAAGCACCGGCUAACUACGUGCCAGCAGCCGCGGUAAUACGUAGGGUGCAAGCGUUAAUCGGAAUUACUGGGCGUAAAGCGUGCGCAGGCGGUUUUGUAAGACAGGCGUGAAAUCCCCGGGCUCAACCUGGGAAUUGCGCUUGUGACUGCAAGGCUGGAGUGCGUCAGAGGGGGAUGGAAUUCCGCGUGUAGCAGUGAAAUGCGUAGAUAUGCGGAGGAACACCGAUGGCGAAGGCAAUCCCCUGGGCCUGCACUGACGCUCAUGCACGAAAGCGUGGGGAGCAAACAGGAUUAGAAACCCCUGUAGUCC
This 450-nucleotide ribosomal RNA is filed under the name uncultured bacterium. Its description in RNAcentral is "bacterial SSU rRNA". It matches the Rfam family "Bacterial small subunit ribosomal RNA", at positions 354 to 796 of the family's 1533-position model. The record is from RNAcentral.